AGAGUUUGAUCCUGGCUCAGGACGAACGCUGGCGGCGUGCCUAACACAUGCAAGUCGAACGGGGUAAUUUCUUCGGAGAUUACUUAGUGGCGAACGGGUGAGUAACGCGUGAGGAACCUGCCUUUCAGUGGGGGACAACAGUUGGAAACGACUGCUAAUACCGCAUAAUGUUGUGAGAUCGCAUGGUCUUGCAACCAAAGAUUUAUUGCUGAAAGAUGGCCUCGCGUCUGAUUAGCUAGUUGGUGGGGUAACGGCCCACCAAGGCGACGAUCAGUAGCCGGUCUGAGAGGAUGAACGGCCACAUUGGGACUGAGAUACGGCCCAGACUCCUACGGGAGGCAGCAGUGGGGAAUAUUGGGCAAUGGGGGAAACCCUGACCCAGCAACGCCGCGUGAAGGAAGAAGGCCUUCGGGUUGUAAACUUCUUUUACCAGGGACGAAGAACGUGACGGUACCUGGAGAAAAAGCAACGGCUAACUACGUGCCAGCAGCCGCGGUAAUACGUAGGUUGCAAGCGUUGUCCGGAUUUACUGGGUGUAAAGGGCGUGUAGGCGGAGAUGCAAGUUGGGAGUGAAAUCCCGGGGCUCAACCCCGGAACUGCUUUCAAAACUGCAUCCCUUGAGUAUCGGAGAGGCAAGCGGAAUUCCUAGUGUAGCGGUGAAAUGCGUAGAUAUUAGGAGGAACACCAGUGGCGAAGGCGGCUUGCUGGACGACAACUGACGCUGAGGCGCGAAAGCGUGGGGAGCAAACAGGAUAAGAUACCCUGGUAGUCCACACCGUAAACGAUGAUUACUAGGUGUGGGGGGACUGACCCCUUCCGUGCCGGAGUUAACGCAAUAAGUAAUCCACCUGGGGAGUACGGCCGCAAGGUUGAAACUCAAAGGAAUUGACGGGGGCCCGCACAAGCAGUGGAGUAUGUGGUUUAAUUCGACGCAACGCGAAGAACCUUACCAGGUCUUGACAUCGUAUGCAUAGUGUAGAGAUACAUGAAGUCCUUCGGGACAUACAGACAGGUGGUGCAUGGUUGUCGUCAGCUCGUGUCGUGAGAUGUUGGGUUAAGUCCCGCAACGAGCGCAACCCUUGUAUUUAGUUGCUACGCAAGAGCACUCUAGAUAGACUGCCGUGGACAACACGGAGGAAGGUGGGGAUGACGUCAAACCAUCAUGCCCCUUAUGACCUGGGCUACACACGUACUACAAUGGCAAUCGAACAGAGGGAAGCAACUCAGCGAUGAGAAGCAGAUCCCGAAAAAUUGUCUCAGUUCGGAUUGCAGGCUGCAACCCGCCUGCAUGAAGUCGGAAUUGCUAGUAAUCGCGGAUCAGCAUGCCGCGGUGAAUACGUUCCCGGGCCUUGCACACACCGCCCGUCA
This 1368-nucleotide ribosomal RNA is filed under the name uncultured bacterium. Its description in RNAcentral is "bacterial SSU rRNA". It matches the Rfam family "Bacterial small subunit ribosomal RNA". The record is from RNAcentral.